This is a non-coding RNA of Takifugu rubripes (torafugu), 73 nucleotides long. The record is from Rfam. Lineage: Eukaryota; Metazoa; Chordata; Actinopteri; Tetraodontiformes; Tetraodontidae.
GUUUCCAUAGUGUAGUGGUUAUCACGUCUGCCUCACACGCAGAAGGUCCCCGUUUUGAAAACGGGUGGAAAAA